This 253-nucleotide ribosomal RNA is filed under the name uncultured prokaryote. RNAcentral describes it as "partial 16S ribosomal RNA". It matches the Rfam family "Bacterial small subunit ribosomal RNA", at positions 524 to 776 of the family's 1533-position model. The record is from RNAcentral.
GACAGAGGUGCCGAGCGUUAGGCGGAAUCACUGGGCUUAAGGCGUGUGUAGGCGGACGGCUAAGUGCUUUGUGAAAUCCCACGGCUCAACCGUGGAACUGCUUGGCAUACUGGUCGUCUUGAGCCAGCUAGGGGCAACCGGAACAAAUGGUGGAGCGGUGAAAUGCGUAGAUAUCAUUUGGAACGCCAAUGGUGAAAACAGGUUGCUGGGGCUGUGCUGACGCUGAGACACGAAAGCCAGGGGAGCGAACGGG